GAUCAUUACCGAGUUAUUCAACUCAUCAACCCUGUGAACAUACCUAAACGUUGCUUCGGCGGGAACAGACGGCCCCGUGAAACGGGCCGCCCCCGCCAGAGGACCCCUAACUCUGUUUCUAUAAUGUUUCUUCUGAGUAAAACAAGCAAAUAAAUUAAAACUUUCAACAACGGAUCUCUUGGCUCUGGCAUCGAUGAAGAACGCAGCGAAAUGCGAUAAGUAAUGUGAAUUGCAGAAUUCAGUGAAUCAUCGAAUCUUUGAACGCACAUUGCGCCCGCCAGUAUUCUGGCGGGCAUGCCUGUUCGAGCGUCAUUACAACCCUCAGGCCCCCGGGCCUGGCGUUGGGGAUCGGCGGAGCCCCCCGUGGGCACACGCCGUCCCCCAAAUACAGUGGCGGUCCCGCCGCAGCUUCCAUCGCGUAGUAGCUAACACCUCGCGACUGGAGAGCGGCGCGGCCACGCCGUAAAACACCCAACUCUUCUGAAGUUGACCUCGAAUCAGGUAGGAAUACCCGCUGAACCUAAGCAUAUCA
This 532-nucleotide unclassified non-coding RNA is filed under the name Fusarium vanettenii. RNAcentral's name for it is "sequence contains 18S rRNA gene, ITS1, 5.8S rRNA gene, ITS2, 28S rRNA gene". The stretch from base 159 to 312 matches the Rfam family "5.8S ribosomal RNA". The record is from RNAcentral. Lineage: Eukaryota; Fungi; Ascomycota; Sordariomycetes; Hypocreales; Nectriaceae.